Molecule: transfer RNA, 70 nt
Filed under: Canis lupus (wolf)
Lineage: Eukaryota; Metazoa; Chordata; Mammalia; Carnivora; Canidae
Description: tRNA-Arg
Rfam family: tRNA
About the family: Transfer RNA (tRNA) molecules are approximately 80 nucleotides in length. Their secondary structure includes four short double-helical elements and three loops (D, anti-codon, and T loops). Further hydrogen bonds mediate the characteristic L-shaped molecular structure. tRNAs have two regions of fundamental functional importance: the anti-codon, which is responsible for specific mRNA codon recognition, and the 3' end, to which the tRNAs corresponding amino acid is attached (by aminoacyl-tRNA synthetases). tRNAs cope with the degeneracy of the genetic code in two manners: having more than one tRNA (with a specific anti-codon) for a particular amino acid; and 'wobble' base-pairing, i.e. permitting non-standard base-pairing at the 3rd anti-codon position.
Source: RNAcentral
AUGAUAAUUAGUUUAAGNCAAAAANCAAAUGAUUUCGACUCAUUAGAUUAUGAUUUAUCUCAUAAUUAUC